CUCAUCAGUCAGCUGUAGAGUUAAAUGGCGGAGAGUCAGAUAAAGGAUCCAUUUCUGUUGAUGCAGUGAUUGAGUCUCCUCUUGAAGAUGCACAAAAUGAAGAGUCAGAUAAAGGAUCACAUGCAGGUGACCACCCUCAUCAGUCAGAUGUAGAGUUUAAUGAUGGAGAGUCGGAUGAAGGAUUGGGUUCUGUUGAUGCAGUGAUUGAGUCUGUCCUUGAAGAUGCACAUGCAGGUGACCACCCUCAUCAGUCAGAUGUAGUAGAGUUUAAUGGCAGAGAGUCAUAUAAAGGAUCUGGUUCUGUUGAUGCAG
Magallana angulata is the source of this 312-nucleotide long non-coding RNA. RefSeq lists it as uncharacterized. The transcript has 3 exons. NCBI's taxonomy places the organism in Eukaryota, Metazoa, Mollusca, Bivalvia, Ostreida, Ostreidae. The record is from RefSeq and is a predicted model, not a curated record.